This 625-nucleotide long non-coding RNA is filed under the name Salvia miltiorrhiza (redroot sage). RNAcentral describes it as "long non-coding RNA (SMIL_LNC004977)". The record is from RNAcentral. Lineage: Eukaryota; Viridiplantae; Streptophyta; Magnoliopsida; Lamiales; Lamiaceae.
GCGUGACUUUGCGGCCCAACCAGAGAAGCCCCAAGAAGGGAAGAAGCCCAAGCGAGUAUCCCAGCAACCACUUUGGCUGAAGGACUAUGUAGUGGGAUAGAGAAAGCUGAUUCGGUGGUCCCUGUUUGUUAGAGAAAACUGAUACUUUGUCGCUCAAUCCCUAGGUGUCUGUUUCUACUUUUCCCAGAAGGCCGUUGGCCAUAUAUAGGAUGUUUCCUUGUUUUCUCUAUUAUCAUGAAUGAAUAUUGAAGUUGUUGUCUCUCUUUCCAAGUUUUCUCUAUCUGUGUUCAGGAGUUUGUGCUCACUCGAAGAGCUCGUGAGUUUAGUCAUAUCAACUGGUGCUUUCAUUGUUCUCUCUCUGCCNUGCCACAGUCAAGGACUUCAUGUCCUCCGUAGCCCCAAGAAGGGAAGAAGCCCAAGCGAGUACCCCAGCAACCACUUUGGCUGAAGGACUAUGUAGUGGGAUAGGGAAAGCUGAUUCGGUGGUCCCUGUUUGUUAGAGAAAACUGAUACUUUGUCGCUCAAUCCCUAGGUGUCUGUUUCUACUUUUCCCAGAAGGCCGUUGGCCAUAUAUAGGAUGUUUCCUUGUUUUCUCUAUUAUCAUGAAUGAAUAUUGAAGUUGUUG